This 73-nucleotide transfer RNA is filed under the name Candidatus Parcubacteria bacterium. RNAcentral describes it as "tRNA-Thr". It matches the Rfam family "tRNA". From Rfam's summary of the family: Transfer RNA (tRNA) molecules are approximately 80 nucleotides in length. Their secondary structure includes four short double-helical elements and three loops (D, anti-codon, and T loops). Further hydrogen bonds mediate the characteristic L-shaped molecular structure. tRNAs have two regions of fundamental functional importance: the anti-codon, which is responsible for specific mRNA codon recognition, and the 3' end, to which the tRNAs corresponding amino acid is attached (by aminoacyl-tRNA synthetases). tRNAs cope with the degeneracy of the genetic code in two manners: having more than one tRNA (with a specific anti-codon) for a particular amino acid; and 'wobble' base-pairing, i.e. permitting non-standard base-pairing at the 3rd anti-codon position. Lineage: Bacteria; Candidatus Parcubacteria. The record is from RNAcentral.
GCCGGCGUAGCUCAGCUGGUAGAGCACCGGUUUUGUAAACCGGAUGUCGUGGGUUCGAGUCCCUCCGCCGGCU